UGUUUUUUAAUAUAAAACUACUUUGGCAUUUUAUUAAGAAUUAUUGGUUAUGGUCAAGUUAAUAAACCUAUACAGUGACCUAUUUUUUUUUCCUGAUAGUUGAUAACACUUUUUUUUUUUUUUAUCAGACUAGAAAGUAAGUGUCCCACUUCCUUUUGGGUUGUUAUCCCAUUAUUGUUACUUCAGUCCUGGACUGCUUGAAGUUCCAAAACACUGAACAGUGAUCGAUAAUGCUCAUAGAGAGGCUUGAUCGAUCGGGGAGCCAUGUCUCCUUGUUUUGUGCUGAGCUCAGGGCGUACCAGUGUGGAGUAGAUGGCAGAGGAAUCCGCUCCGUACUGGAAGUAGUUGGCGUACGCGUGUGCCGGUGCGUAAGGGGAGCCGUACACCCCGAGCGCCGCACUCAGCUCCGCGCGCGCUCCCGACACCAGCCGCUUGUCACAGGCGGGCGGGCAGCAGAAGGACGCGGCGGCGGCAGCCUGGGGAGCACUCGAACCGUCCGGUACCGACCUGGAAAUCGAAUCGCAGCAAGUCGUACUGGGCUUUGACGACACGAAAAACUGCGUGAAGAAAAUCACGGAAGGAGACGUUAUUUUUACGCGUUGCUCCAGGCACAAGUCCACACCUUCUAUAGCUAUUCUAGGUACAUUUUAAAGAAAAAAUAAUAAUGAUAAUAAUAAAGUCUUGGACAAUUCCCAGCCACCAGCCAGCGCUCACCUAUCACAUGACUGCUACCAACCAGAGAUAACACAUGCUUCCUCCAAGACACGUGAAGCUGCUGACUGCAUCUUUCCAUGCACAGGAGGAAGUUACACAUGCUCAUGAUCCGCUAAUGUCACCAUGAUUGACAGAAGACAGGCAGCGUUCCAUCCCUCCCAGUGAGACAGCACAGCCAGGUUUACUCUCUUGGACUCCUGGUGAUGAAUGGCUGUGCGAUUGUUAGGAUUAAAACGCACAAUCUCUGGAUAAUAGGGUGAACACUUUUCUGUUGCACCACUCAGGAGCACCUAUGCUGUUAUUUAACAAAGAAAUCAUUAAAAUGGUGAAGAGUUAUGGAAAAUGUUUGACAGUUAUGGAAGGAAAGGAAAGGAGACAAGUAGAACUCAGCACCAAGUGUAACCUUGACCCCGUUUGGAUUUAAAGGAGAACUGAAGUCAUUUUUAAACUUGCUUUAUUUCUUAAUUAACGUGUUAUUCAAUUACAUUUUCGGUUUUAGUAACCUUAUACCGUGACUCGUAUUGAAAACUAACUGCAAUUAAAUAUUAUACGUAUCGGCCUAUUCAGUUUUUAGUCAUGUUGAAUUUAGUUCGUUUGGUCCACGGCAGGCGUCGCUUAUCCGCGCGAUCUUCACGAGACUUGUGCGAGACUUUGAAACGUGAAGUGUCAGCCAGGUGACAGUGCCGCCAUUUUAAAAACUGUUUUCUAAACGAAAUAUCGCACAAAAACGAGUUUAAAUGACGAUUACUGCCUACUUUUUUCAAACUUUCCUGAUUGCUAUCAAAACAAACACAACUUCCGGCUUGAUUACAUCAGCAUUCGAAAGAGGGCGCGCACGUCUUUUGACAGCGUUGGCAGAUGUUGGUCACUUUGAUUUCAGCUGUACGUUUUUCUUCCGUCCUACGAUGUCUCGCACAGGUCUCAACGAAUCUCGUUUACGGCCAUUGCUUUGACAUACAGACUGAUAUAUUACAGAGCAUAUUUCAAACACUCAUAACUUGCUAUAGCAGCGACAAAAUAGUGAUCAAAAAUGCAUUCCUAUAUUUAAUAAAAUGAGAUAAAUAGAAUUUUGAUGAUAAAAAAUUGCCUUCAGUUCUCCUUUAAUGUAAAAUGUAAUCUAGUACAUUUGCAAGUUACAAAGUUAAUUCUAUACAAAGCCCAAAAUGUGUAUUAAAAAAAGUAAAUAAACGGUGGCAGGGUUGCCAUUAUGUUACUAUAAAAUUAACAUUAUUUUAUAGUCAUUACAAUUUACAGUUUUGUACUGUUAAUGAAAAAUACAGUAUUAAAUUUUGUUUUAUGUUGUA
Long non-coding RNA from Neoarius graeffei (lesser salmon catfish), 2018 nucleotides. RefSeq lists it as uncharacterized. Lineage: Eukaryota; Metazoa; Chordata; Actinopteri; Siluriformes; Ariidae. The record is from RefSeq and is a predicted model, not a curated record. The transcript is spliced from 2 exons.